CCAGCAUUUUAAUGAACAUUACAAAAAGUUUAUUUAAAAUUAUUUUUUUUCCAUUUCUCUUUUCCUUUGUACAUUUGGUAGCAAUAAGGCAAAAAAGUAGUCUCUGGAAUAACAAUUAAUUCACAUCAAUUAAUUAUUACCACAAGUAUAAAUAUUAUUAAAAUCUGGGUUGUUGCUACAGUGAGUCACUGCUCUCCCAAUGUGUCUCUGCAUUGGAAAAGGAUUGUGGUAGAAGUUGCCUCAACACAGAUGUAGGAACAGAGUAUCUGACAGGUCAAACAUUCUAGAUCUGACCUUGCGCCAGUGGUUAGGGAGAUUUUUUUUUUACCAGGUCUUAAGAAAGAUAGAGGACGGUGCUAGAUCUCACUGGAGACCACGGGUGAUGCUGUUGACAUUGGUAUGGUGAUGUCACUCAAUGUAAAAGUGGUGGUUUUGGUUACCGGUUGUUUUAGUUGUGAGUUUUUUUUCCAGUUUGUUCAGAGACAGCCAGGAAAGGUGUGUGGUGGCAAUGGAGUGAUAGGAUUGUGAAUGGCAGACAAAGCCACAAGGAGAGGGGGAUGGGGAAAAAAUAAUGAGGAAAAGGAGAUGGGGGAAGAGGAAAGCAUUGAAAUCCCUUCAUGGAAUCUUAUCCAAAGCUACAAAAUGGUCUAUCAUAAAACACUCCUAAAAUAGCUAUAAAAUCCAGUCUCAUCACAAAAUAACAGAAACAAAAUCUGAAUUGAAACCAGAAUAAACGUAAAAACAUUCGUUGAUAAUACAAGGCCAUUCUUGAGUCACAUGUUAGUGUGUACAGUGUUUUACAGUGCUUCUUGUGAGUGUUGGCCAACGGAUCAAUGAAAACACUCCUCAAAAAUAUAUAAUUCCAGUCAGAGCAGCAAUCCUUGGUUUUUUUGUUCUCUCAACAAAAUGCAUGUUAAAAUAAAAUCUGAAAGUGCCAAAUACAUUUCUGUUGUGCCUGAACCAUAGCCAUGUCUGUGCAGGUUUUUUCUACACCGAGUAGAGAAUACAUUAAGAAUACCUGCUCUUUCCAUGACAGACUGACAAGGUGAAUCAGGCGAAGCUCAGAUCCCUUAUUUAUGUCACUUGUUAAAUUCACUUCAAAAUCAGUGUAGAUAAAGGGGAGGAGACAGAACAAAGAAUGAUUUUUAAGCCUUGAGACAUGGAUUGUGCAUGUGUGCCAUUCAGACAUUGAAUGGGUAAGACAAAAUAUUCAAGUGCCUUUGAACGGGGUAUGGUAGUAGGUGCCAGGCGCACCGGCUUGUGUGAAGAACUGCAACGCUGCUGGGUUUUUCCACGCGCAACAGUUUCACGUGUGUAUCAAGAAUGGUCCACCACCCAAAGGACAUCUGUGGGAAGCACUGGAGUCAACAUGGGCCAGCAUCCCUGUGGAACGCUUUCAACACCUUGUAGAGUCCAUGCCCGACAAAUUGAGGAUAUGGGGGGGGUGCAACUCAAUAUUAGGAUGUUUUGUAUACUCUGUCUAUAUGGACUUGAGGGGAGGGUUGAAACAGGAAGAGAGAUCAUAAAAACAGAGCCGUCUACAGACCCAGAGCCCGUGAGUGGCGAGUGCAAUAUUCUGUGUAUACAAGACGUCAGUCUCUCAAGUUCUCUAAAAUCAAGAAAACACCCCGUGAUUGGCUCACAAUUGUGGCACAAAGGUUAUUUCCUGUACCCUCGUCUCCCUGGUCCCAGAAAACGUGCGUCCUGUCCAAAACAAUAAAAUAAAUAGAAAAAAAAACAUGUACACACAAAUAAUAUUAAAGGCUUUAAAAUAUUUUCUGAUCUGCUCCUAGUUAAGUCACAGUUCCCUUCAGUCACAUCCUGGGUGGAGAUUCAGCCAGAGACCUGAGAGAGAGAGA
Molecule: long non-coding RNA, 1859 nt
Organism: Oncorhynchus tshawytscha (Chinook salmon)
Lineage: Eukaryota; Metazoa; Chordata; Actinopteri; Salmoniformes; Salmonidae
Source: Ensembl